This 76-nucleotide transfer RNA is filed under the name Erysipelotrichaceae bacterium. RNAcentral describes it as "tRNA-His". It matches the Rfam family "tRNA". From Rfam's summary of the family: Transfer RNA (tRNA) molecules are approximately 80 nucleotides in length. Their secondary structure includes four short double-helical elements and three loops (D, anti-codon, and T loops). The record is from RNAcentral. Lineage: Bacteria; Bacillati; Bacillota; Erysipelotrichia; Erysipelotrichales; Erysipelotrichaceae.
GCGACUAUGGUGAAGUGGUUAACACACUGGAUUGUGGCUCCAGCAUUCGUCAGUUCGAUCCUGACUAGUCGCCCCA